AUUGAACGCUGGCGACAUGCCUUACACAUGCAAGUCGAACGGCAGCACGGGUGCUUGCACCUGGUGGCGAGUGGCGAACGGGUGAGUAAUACAUCGGAACAUGUCCUGUAGUGGGGGAUAGCCCGGCGAAAGCCGGAUUAAUACCGCAUACGAACUACGGAUGAAAGCGGGGGACCUGCGGGCCUCGCGCUAUAGGGUUGGCCGAUGGCUGAUUAGCGAGGUGGUGGGGUAAAGGCCUACCAAGGCGACGAUCAGUAGCUGGUCUGAGAGGACGACCAGUCACACUGGGACUGAGACACGGCCCAGACUCCUACGGGAGGCAGCAGUGGGGAAUUUUGGACAAUGGGCGAAGGCCUGAUCCAGCAAUGCCGCGUGUGUGAAGAAGGCCUUCGGGUUGUAAAGCACUUUUGUCCGGAAAGAAAUCCUUGGCCCUAAUACGGUCGGGGGAUGACGGUACCGGAAGAAUAAGCACCGGCUAACUACGUG
This 486-nucleotide ribosomal RNA is filed under the name uncultured bacterium. RNAcentral's name for it is "partial 16S ribosomal RNA". It matches the Rfam family "Bacterial small subunit ribosomal RNA", at positions 29 to 507 of the family's 1533-position model. The record is from RNAcentral.